AAAUUGAAGAGUUUGAUCAUGGCUCAGAUUGAACGCUGGCGGCAGGCCUAACACAUGCAAGAGCGGUAGCACAGAGCUUGCUCUCGGGUGACGAGCGGCGGACGGGUGUAAUGUCUGGGAAACUGCCUGAUGGAGGGGAUAACUACUGGAAACGGUAGCUAAUACCGCAUAACGUCGCAAACCAAAGUGGGGACCUUCGGGCCUCAUGCCAUCAGAUGUGCCCAGAUGGGAUUAGCUAGUAGGUGGGGUAACGGCUCACCUAGGCGACGAUCCCUAGCUGGUCUGAGAGGAUGACCAGCCACACUGGAACUGAGACACGGUCAGACUCCUACGGGAGGCAGCAGUGGGAAUAUUGCACAAUGGGCGCAAGCCUGAUGCAGCCAUGCCGCGUGUGUGAAGGCCUUCGGGUUGUAAAGCUUUCAGCGGGGAGGAAGGCGAUAA
RNAcentral lists this ribosomal RNA (441 nucleotides) under Klebsiella pneumoniae. RNAcentral's name for it is "bacterial SSU rRNA". It matches the Rfam family "Bacterial small subunit ribosomal RNA", at positions 1 to 457 of the family's 1533-position model. The record is from RNAcentral. Lineage: Bacteria; Pseudomonadati; Pseudomonadota; Gammaproteobacteria; Enterobacterales; Enterobacteriaceae.